This 562-nucleotide ribosomal RNA is filed under the name uncultured bacterium. Its description in RNAcentral is "bacterial SSU rRNA". It matches the Rfam family "Bacterial small subunit ribosomal RNA", at positions 338 to 916 of the family's 1533-position model. The record is from RNAcentral.
CCUACGGGAGGCAGCAGUGGGGAAUCUUGCGCAAUGGGCGAAAGCCUGACGCAGCAACGCCGCGUGGGGGAAGAAGGCCCUUGGGUUGUAAACCCCUUUUGCAGGGGAAGAUAAUGACGGUACCCUGCGAAUAAGCCACGGCUAACUACGUGCCAGCAGCCGCGGUAAUACGUAGGUGGCAAGCGUUGUCCGGAUUUACUGGGCGUAAAGAGCGCGUAGGCGGCUUGUUAAGUCUGGGGUGAAAUCUCCCGGCUCAACCGGGAGGGGUCCUUGGAUACUGGCAGGCUGGAGGGGAGCAGAGGAGAGCGGAAUUCCCGGUGUAGUGGUGAAAUGCGUAGAUAUCGGGAGGAACACCAGUGGCGAAGGCGGCUCUCUGGGCUCUACCUGACGCUGAGGUGCGAAAGCGUGGGGAGCGAACCGGAUUAGAUACCCGGGUAGUCCACGCUGUAAACGAUGGACACUAGGUGUGGGGGGUAUCGACCCCCUCCGUGCCGAAGCUAACGCUAUAAGUGUCCCGCCUGGGGAGUACGGCCGCAAGGCUGAAACUCAAAGGAAUUGACGG